This 434-nucleotide ribosomal RNA is filed under the name uncultured bacterium. RNAcentral describes it as "bacterial SSU rRNA". It matches the Rfam family "Bacterial small subunit ribosomal RNA", at positions 958 to 1392 of the family's 1533-position model. The record is from RNAcentral.
AACGCGAAGAACCUUACCAGCCCUUGACAUGUCCAGGACCGUCGCAGAGAUGUGACCUUCUCUUCGGAGCCUGGAACACAGGUGCUGCAUGGCUGUCGUCAGCUCGUGUCGUGAGAUGUUGGGUUAAGUCCCGCAACGAGCGCAACCCCCGUCCUUAGUUGCUACCAUUUAGUUGAGCACUCUAAGGAGACUGCCGGUGAUAAGCCGCGAGGAAGGUGGGGAUGACGUCAAGUCCUCAUGGCCCUUACGGGCUGGGCUACACACGUGCUACAAUGGCGGUGACAAUGGGACGCUAAGGGGCAACCCUUCGCAAAUCUCAAAAAGCCGUCUCAGUUCGGAUUGGGCUCUGCAACUCGAGCCCAUGAAGUUGGAAUCGCUAGUAAUCGUGGAUCAGCACGCCACGGUGAAUACGUUCCCGGGCCUUGUACACACCG